Anas platyrhynchos (mallard) is the source of this 1922-nucleotide non-coding RNA. The record is from RefSeq and is a predicted model, not a curated record. NCBI's taxonomy places the organism in Eukaryota, Metazoa, Chordata, Aves, Anseriformes, Anatidae.
AAAUAGUCAAGAAAAACAUUGAAGGUAGAGUUAUAGAUUAAUUUAAUGUACACAACUUGAUAGUACUAAAGGCUUGGGUUUCUCAAAGGCCAAACUGUUCCUCUCUCUAUGCUGCUGACACUCAUUCAGAGUUAACAAAAUAGUGAAUAAGGGAGAAAUGGUGGAUAAAAUUAAUUCAGGCUUUCAAAAGACUUUUGAUAAAGACUCUUACAAGAAACUCUUCAGGAAACUUGGUAACCAUGGAGUGAGAGAUAGAGUAGAAAUGAAAAAGGCACAGACAGGGGCAGCAUUGCUGAUCAAAGACACAGAUGUCAUCUGUGCAAGAAACUAUGAAAAAGACCAGGAUUCUUCAGGCUAGGGAAGAGGUGGCCCAGAGCAAGAAUGACAAGGAGGCAAACAGGGAUCAACUUGCAGCACAUGAUCUUAAAGUCAUGAGUUGUACUGUUGAGUGGUAAGUUCAAAACAGACAAAAUGAAGUCAUUCCUCACAUGGGGUGUGAAACAUUUCUGAAGGAAUCUAUUAAUAUGGUUGUGUUUAAGGUACCUCCAUACUCCUAGAAGGAGAAUCCUGUGAAAGUGACUAGAUACUGAGCUAUCACCUCCAUUUCAGGAACUGUCUAGCCUGAAAAACUUUGGAAGUGAAGGACAAACACUACUUUCUGGCCCUGCUUUUCCCUUACGCAUCUGUCCAUGGCCUGUGUCAGAGACAGACAAUUGAAUUGUACAGAGUUUUGAUCUACACAUUUUACACUAUGCAGCUAUAAAUAAUUCCUGGAAGUUAGACAGGUGUAUGCAUACAUCAAAAAUGGCAUGUGGAGAGAAGCAACUUGUGUUGCUGGAUGGGAGAAGAGCAGAAAAAGGAGUAUCCAGGGAAUGUUAGAACAUUACAUGGCUUUAUCCUCUUGAAGCUAAGGCUAAACAGCCUAAAAAAAAAAAAAAAAAAAAAAAAAAAAAGUUUUGACAAUCAGUGGGGGUUGGUUUAGCCCCUAAGGGCUUUUUUUUGCCUCUCCCAUAUGUUUCCAUUGCAGAUAGAGUUUCCAGAUAGGGUUUAUGCUUAAGAGAUACUGAGGUGCAGAAAAGUCACUCUGUGGUGACUCAGGGUGCAUCUAUUUGUUAUUCUGCCUGUGUCUAUCACUUUCCUUUUCUUGUGUUUUCUCUGAUAAAGGACCUUAGUGACUGAAAUAUAGAUCAAAGCCCCAGCCUAAGGCUUGUCAAAAGAAAAGGGAAGGGAAGGAAAAAAAAAAAAAAAAAAAAAAAAAAGCAUUGAAAAAUAUAUCAUUGAGCUUAAAGGAUUCUUUCUUUUCUUGUUUUCUGCCAUUUCUAUUUGAAGAUUUUCUGUCUCAUCCUGCAUUUAGUAUAUCUUACAGUAACUUUGAAAGAAAAACCAAAGAGAGACACUAAACAAAAGAUGAUUUUACUUUGUUAUGUUGUUACUGUACUAAGUUCUAAGUCAGAACUGUUUCAUUUUAUACUGGAGGAAGAGAUGGUUUGCUGUGUUUGGUCUACUGUGUUUAUGUCGUCCACUAACCUUUCUGUGACUGCUGACAUUAUUCCUCAUGAAGCCGUGAGUCAAGUGAUCAUGAUCCUCUGUGUUUGAUUUCUUUAGUUCUAAUUGCAUUUGUGUUGUUAUGUGUUAAUUGUGAGGAAAAAUAUAUAAUUUAUCCUAUAUUUCCAUAUCUGAUAGUAUACAUAUUUUGGAUGCAAGGUCUAUAGACAGAUGGAAAUACCAUUUUGUACCACCAAGGUUUGAAUAUGUUAGAUAAAUCCUGCCCUGUCUCAAAUACUGGAAGAGGGGACAAUCCCAGAUAUGAACUCAACUGAAAAUUGAGCUGUGUCCAAAUAAUCUCUGUUUUGCAAGAUCUCAAAGUUUUAUAUAAAACACUUUAUUACAUUUAAUAAAUAAAUAAACUGUACAACUGCAAA